AGGGCUGUGGCUCAGUGGUAUAGCAUGUGCUUGGCAUGUAGCAAGCCCCAGAUUCAGUCCUUGGCAGCUCCU
This 72-nucleotide transfer RNA is filed under the name Sphaerodactylus townsendi. RNAcentral describes it as "tRNA-Ala". The record is from RNAcentral. Lineage: Eukaryota; Metazoa; Chordata; Lepidosauria; Squamata; Sphaerodactylidae.